UACGUAGGGUGCAAGCGUUGUCCGGAAUUAUUGGGCGUAAAGAGCUCGUAGGCGGUUCGUCGCGUCGGCUGUGAAAACCCGGAGCUCAACUCCGGGCCUGCAGUCGAUACGGGCGGACUAGAGUUCGGCAGGGGAGACUGGAAUUCCUGGUGUAGCGGUGAAAUGCGCAGAUAUCGGGAGGAACACCGGUGGCGAAGGCGGUUCUCUGGGCCUUACCUGACGCUGAGGAGCGAAAGCGUGGGGAGCGAACAGG
Molecule: ribosomal RNA, 253 nt
Filed under: uncultured bacterium
Lineage: Bacteria
Description: partial 16S ribosomal RNA
Rfam family: Bacterial small subunit ribosomal RNA
Source: RNAcentral